GGCCAGCAGUUCCAGGCCCACCUGCCUGGGCCCACCACUCUGAGGGCCAGUCUUUCCUCAACUGUGCACAUUUCUCCUACCUGUGGAAAGGACGUGGAGCCUCCACUCUGCCAGUCUUUACCUGUAGCGUUGCCUUCUUGAACCAAAGAUGUUGGAGGUCCAGCACAGUUCUCUAGGCAGCAUUGUUUUCUAGAUGAACUUAAGACUGUAGCUGAAAAACGUGAAUCUCUUCUUUGCCAGGUCCUGUGGCAGCAGAACCCCAGGAGAUGCGGCAGCCCACACAGACAAGCUUGUGUUUAAGAGUCAGAUUUGCUUUCUCUCUAGGUGUAUGUGUGCUCUUGGGUUGGUUCUGUAAUCUCUUUGUGCCUCACUUUGUUUUAUUUUAUUUAUUUAUUUUUUGAGACAGCAUCUUGCUUUGUAGCCCAGGCAGGAGUGAAGUGGCUUAAUCAUAGCUCGCUGCAGCCUCGAACUCCUAGGCUCAAGUGAUCCUCCUGCCUCAGCUUCCUGAGUAGCUGGGACUACAGCUGGGCCCAGGUCUCACGGGAGCGUGAUGAUGAAGCCCAGCUUUGCUGGUCCCAGUCCUGGCACUGCCGCUAACUUGCUGUGUGGCUUUGGGCUAGCCCAUCCUGAGGCCCCCUGCAUCUGCAACAGGAAGCUCUGGCCAUCUGCACUUGCUCCCCUUUGUCUGUGGCCAAAGCCCCACUCUGGAAAUUUCCAUCAUCGGUGGUCAUGUGUCGAUCACAGCACACUGGGUUCACUCCAUGGCCUCAUCCUUGGGUAGUGACUUCCCACCCGUCUAGUGCUCCUCUCCAGCCUCAGUCACCAGCAUCUCCUACUUGGAUUAUUGCAACGGCUCCUAAGCAUCAGCAUUAAGCAUCAACGCAGAUGAAUCCUCCUCCUACAGACAUUAGAUCAUGUCACACCUCUGCCCAGAACCUUCCAGUGGCUUCCUGUAUCAUGUAGAAUAAAAGAAAAGUCUUUCCCUGGG
This is a long non-coding RNA of Pongo pygmaeus (Bornean orangutan), 988 nucleotides long. RefSeq lists it as uncharacterized. NCBI's taxonomy places the organism in Eukaryota, Metazoa, Chordata, Mammalia, Primates, Hominidae. The transcript is spliced from 3 exons. The record is from RefSeq and is a predicted model, not a curated record.